GGGCAGUGCGGGUGCUAUACAUGCAGUCGAACGAACUCUGGUAUUGAUUGGUGCUUGCAUCAUGAUUUACAUUUGAGUGAGUGGCGAACUGGUGAGUAACACGUGGGAAACCUGCCCAGAAGCGGGGGAUAACACCUGGAAACAGAUGCUAAUACCGCAUAACAACUUGGACCGCAUGGUCCGAGUUUGAAAGAUGGCUUCGGCUAUCACUUUUGGAUGGUCCCGCGGCGUAUUAGCUAGAUGGUGGGGUAACGGCUCACCAUGGCAAUGAUACGUAGCCGACCUGAGAGGGUAAUCGGCCACAUUGGGACUGAGACACGGCCCAAACUCCUACGGGAGGCAGCAGUAGGGAAUCUUCCACAAUGGACGAAAGUCUGAUGGAGCAACGCCGCGUGAGUGAAGAAGGGUUUCGGCUCGUAAAACUCUGUUGUUAAAGAAGAACAUAUCUGAGAGUAACUGUUCAGGUAUUGACGGUAUUUAACCAGAAAGCCACGGCUAACUACGUGCCAGCAGCCGCGGUAAUACGUAGGUGGCAAGCGUUGUCCGGAUUUAUUGGGCGUAAAGCGAGCGCAGGCGGUUUUUUAAGUCUGAUGUGAAAGCCUUCGGCUCAACCGAAGAAGUGCAUCGGAAACUGGGAAACUUGAGUGCAGAAGAGGACAGUGGAACUCCAUGUGUAGCGGUGAAAUGCGUAGAUAUAUGGAAGAACACCAGUGGCGAAGGCGGCUGUCUGGUCUGUAACUGACGCUGAGGCUCGAAAGUAUGGGUAGCAAACAGGAUUAGAUACCCUGGUAGUCCAUACCGUAAACGAUGAAUGCUAAGUGUUGGAGGGUUUCCGCCCUUCAGUGCUGCAGCUAACGCAUUAAGCAUUCCGCCUGGGGAGUACGGGCCGCAAGGCUGAAACUCAAAGGAAUUGACGGGGGCCCGCACAAGCGGUGGAGCAUGUGGUUUAAUUCGAAGCUACGCGAAGACCUUACCAGGUCUUGACAUACUAUGCAAUCUAGAGAUUAGACGUCCCUUCGGACAUGAUACAGUGUGCAUGUGUCGUCAGCUCGUGUCGUGAGAUGUUGGGUAAGUCCCGCACGAGCGCAA
This 1089-nucleotide ribosomal RNA is filed under the name Lactiplantibacillus plantarum. RNAcentral describes it as "bacterial SSU rRNA". It matches the Rfam family "Bacterial small subunit ribosomal RNA", at positions 37 to 1101 of the family's 1533-position model. Lineage: Bacteria; Bacillati; Bacillota; Bacilli; Lactobacillales; Lactobacillaceae. The record is from RNAcentral.